UACGGAGGGUGCAAGCGUUAUCCGGAUUUACUGGGUUUAAAGGGUGCGUAGGUGGGUUGGUAAGUCAGUGGUGAAAUACUUUCGCUUAACGAAGGAACUGCCAUUGAUACUACCAGUCUUGAAUACAGUGGAGGUAGGCGGAAUGCGUCAUGUAGCGGUGAAAAUGCUUAGAUAUGACGCAGAACACCAAUUGCGAAGGCAGCUUGCUACACUGUUAUUGACACUGAGGCACGAAAAGCGUGGGGGAUCAAAACAGG
Molecule: ribosomal RNA, 257 nt
Filed under: uncultured bacterium
Lineage: Bacteria
Description: partial 16S ribosomal RNA
Rfam family: Bacterial small subunit ribosomal RNA
Source: RNAcentral